CUUUUAGAAGAACAUUUCCACUGAAAGAAAUCGCGUCGGUUUCUUUCCAGCAGUGUAAACCGCAGGCGAUAUCAUGGGUUGAGCCCUACGAUUGUAUGGCAGAAAAGCGCCUAUCGUUAUUCUUCAGUUUCAUUAACACGGAGUUUCGACAGGCAGCUCUGCCAACCGCAACCAAUAUUGCUAUUCGGCAAUCAUAUUUCUCGCGAGUCGCGACAUUUUGCGGAACCUGUGGCCUGUGUCUCUCGGUCAGGCGAGGGACAUGUGGACGGGAUACUAUUCCAGUGCCCGACCCACACAGUGGAAACUGGAAAGUGAUGCUAAACUUAGAUAAACCACACACGGUUUUCUUGUGGCCGUCAAGAUUUGUUGGGAUUCUUAUUUUAAAUUAGCCUGAAGAUAAGCC
Molecule: long non-coding RNA, 403 nt
Organism: Paramacrobiotus metropolitanus
Lineage: Eukaryota; Metazoa; Tardigrada; Eutardigrada; Parachela; Macrobiotidae
Exons: 4
Source: RefSeq, a predicted model, not a curated record